CGGGUGAGUAACGCGUGAGGAACCUGCCUCAAAGAGGGGAACAACAGUUGGAAACGACUGCUAAUACCGCAUAAGCCCACAGGUCGGCAUCGACCAGAGGGAAAAGGAGCAAUCCGCUUUGAGAUGGCCUCGCGUCCGAUUAGCUAGUUGGUGAGGUAAUGGCCCACCAAGGCAACGAUCGGUAGCCGGACUGAGAGGUUGAACGGCCACAUUGGGACUGAGACACGGCCCAG
This 233-nucleotide ribosomal RNA is filed under the name uncultured bacterium. Its description in RNAcentral is "partial 16S ribosomal RNA". It matches the Rfam family "Bacterial small subunit ribosomal RNA", at positions 103 to 334 of the family's 1533-position model. The record is from RNAcentral.